Molecule: long non-coding RNA, 542 nt
Filed under: Vigna radiata
Lineage: Eukaryota; Viridiplantae; Streptophyta; Magnoliopsida; Fabales; Fabaceae
Description: long non-coding RNA (VRAD_LNC002197)
Source: RNAcentral
CAGGGAAUUGGAGUGAUUAGACUGAAAAUGUUUGAUAAUCAUGAGAUGUUGUUACAAGGAGUGAGGUAUGUUCCAGAACUGAAAAUGUCAGAACUGUUGCAGCGGAAUUGUUAGCGUGGAAUAACAAACCAAGAGGGUUUUUAAUACAAACGUGUGCCUUUCAAUUUCUACUCAAUUUAACUUACUACGCAAAUAAUAAAUAUAAAUAAAAGAGUAAGGUUGAGAGAAAUUUGCAUAGAUAAUUUUUAUACUGGUUCGGAUCUUGCCAAUCCUACGUCUAGUCGCUUAUCUCAAAUCAAGAUAAACAAUUCACUAAGCACAAAACAAUUACAAACUACAUUUACAAAGAAACAAUUUGUAAAAGUUUAGAAACCACCUCUCUUGAUACCACAAGAGAUGAAACUGCACCUCCUUUGAAUCUUCACAAAGGAUGAACCACCUCCUCCGAAUACUUCACGAAGGAUGACCCUCUUCCACACACCUCCUUAGACGCACCAAGGAUGAACCAGCUAUUCCUCCGCCACCAUAGUAGCAAUGUACCA